This 69-nucleotide transfer RNA is filed under the name Ictidomys tridecemlineatus (thirteen-lined ground squirrel). Its description in RNAcentral is "Spermophilus tridecemlineatus (thirteen-lined ground squirrel) tRNA". It matches the Rfam family "tRNA". From Rfam's summary of the family: Transfer RNA (tRNA) molecules are approximately 80 nucleotides in length. Their secondary structure includes four short double-helical elements and three loops (D, anti-codon, and T loops). Lineage: Eukaryota; Metazoa; Chordata; Mammalia; Rodentia; Sciuridae. The record is from Rfam by way of RNAcentral.
GGGGCUGUAGCUCAGGGAUAGAGUGCUCACCUCACUCGUGAGAGACCCUGGGUUCGAUCCUCAGCACCA